This 510-nucleotide ribosomal RNA is filed under the name uncultured bacterium. Its description in RNAcentral is "bacterial SSU rRNA". It matches the Rfam family "Bacterial small subunit ribosomal RNA", at positions 353 to 863 of the family's 1533-position model. The record is from RNAcentral.
ASUGAGGAAUAUUGGACAAUGGGCGGGAGCCUGAUCCAGCCAUGCCGCGUGCAGGAAGACUGCCCUAUGGGUUGUAAACUGCUUUUAUACGGGAAGAAACACCCCCUCGUGAGGGGGCUUGACGGUACCGUAAGAAUAAGGAUCGGCUAACUCCGUGCCAGCAGCCGCGGUAAUACGGAGGAUCCAAGCGUUAUCCGGAAUCAUUGGGUUUAAAGGGUCYGUAGGUGGACCGUUAAGUCAGAGGUGAAAUCUUGCAGCUCAACUGUAGAAUUGCCUYUGAUACUGGCGGUCUUGAAUCAUUGUGAAGUGGUUAGAAUAUGUGGUGUAGCGGUGAAAUGCAUAGAUAUCACAUAGAAUACCGAUUGCGAAGGCAGAUCACUAACAAUGCAYUGACACUGAUGGACGAAAGCGUGGGGAGCGAACAGGAUUAGAUACCCUGGUAGUCCACGCCGUAAACGAUGGAUACUAGCUGUCCGGUCUUCGGACUGGGUGGCUAAGCGAAAGUGAUAA